Lactuca sativa (garden lettuce) is the source of this 946-nucleotide long non-coding RNA. RefSeq lists it as uncharacterized. Lineage: Eukaryota; Viridiplantae; Streptophyta; Magnoliopsida; Asterales; Asteraceae. The record is from RefSeq and is a predicted model, not a curated record.
UUUAAUUUUUUUUUCGUGUACAGAAAGAUGAAGUGGAGUUUUUUCGGAAUAAAUUUUGCUGGCAGUCAAGCUGACCGAGCUGACUGGGCUGUUAAGGAAGAAGCUGAAGCAAAAAAAGUUACUGAAAAGUUGAAGAACACAAAAAUUUCAGGUCAUUAUUAUUUUUCCCUGAAAACCCUAAACCUCUUAAUACUUAGUGAUAAAGCAAAACGGUUGGUAAUUAUUAUUAUUAUUUUUAUUUUAUUUAAUUUUAAUAAUGUUUGCAGAAAAAAGUGGAAAGAAAGAAAAGGGGCAGAAGUCUGGUGUUGGUGAAAAAGCAAAAACAAAGGGAGCUGUUGUGGAAAAGGAAGUAACGAAGGGAGAGGAUUCUUUUCCACUAUUAACUAAAAUUACAUGAAGUUAAAGUUAGGUCCUCUUCUUUGUGUUGAGUGCUUGUUGCUCUGAUUUUGAUCUAUGUGUUGAGUGCUUUUCUGUUGGUGUUGAGGUUUAUCCUCAUAAAAGCAAUCAUCCAUAUAGAGUAACGGUUAGUAAUUUGUUGUUGGUAUACAAUUGUUGAAGUUUGUUGUUGUGUUCCAGUAUAUCCCCGGUGACGACAAGCCACCACCGGAGGACCGCCGUUGAACAGCCCCAAAAUCCGGUGGCCACUGCCCACAGAACAGGUAAGGAUGCUUUGAUUUGUUUUUUUUACUGAUUUGUUGUUUUUCGGUGACCACCAGCCACCAUCGGAAGACCACCGUUGAAGCCAACCCGGAGAAAUCCCGCUGCCACUGCCAUAUAACAGUCAUCUACUAAAGCAAGGUUGGUGUAAGAGUUGAUGACGAGAACAUUGUUCCAAGACCUUCAGUGAGUUAUGAUGAUGUCCUUUAAUAGCAAUGUAGUAUUAGGUUAUAUAGUUAGCAAUGAUUAUUUGUAUUUGACAUUUUAGUGCAAUGAAUUAUCUUUUUUA